UUAGGAAUCUUGGACAAUGGGCGCAAGCCUGAUCCAGCCAUGCCGCGUGAGUGAUGAAGGCCUUAGGGUUGUAAAGCUCUUUCAGCGGGGAAGAUAAUGACGGUACCCGCAGAAGAAGCCCCGGCUAACUUCGUGCCAGCAGCCGCGGUAAUACGAAGGGGGCUAGCGUUGCUCGGAAUCACUGGGCGUAAAGCGCACGUAGGCGGCUUUCUAAGUCAGGGGUGAAAUCCUGGAGCUCAACUCCAGAACUGCCUUUGAUACUGGAGAGCUUGAGUCCGGAAGAGGUGAGUGGAACUCCGAGUGUAGAGGUGAAAUUCGUAGAUAUUCGGAAGAACACCAGUGGCGAAGGCGGCUCACUGGUCCGGUACUGACGCUGAGGUGCGAAAGCGUGGGGAGCAAACA
RNAcentral lists this ribosomal RNA (402 nucleotides) under uncultured Rhodoplanes sp. RNAcentral describes it as "bacterial SSU rRNA". It matches the Rfam family "Bacterial small subunit ribosomal RNA", at positions 355 to 774 of the family's 1533-position model. The record is from RNAcentral. Lineage: Bacteria; Pseudomonadati; Pseudomonadota; Alphaproteobacteria; Hyphomicrobiales; Nitrobacteraceae.